Molecule: transfer RNA, 77 nt
Filed under: Deinococcus piscis
Lineage: Bacteria; Thermotogati; Deinococcota; Deinococci; Deinococcales; Deinococcaceae
Also listed under: 5 other names
Description: tRNA-Arg
Rfam family: tRNA
About the family: Transfer RNA (tRNA) molecules are approximately 80 nucleotides in length. Their secondary structure includes four short double-helical elements and three loops (D, anti-codon, and T loops). Further hydrogen bonds mediate the characteristic L-shaped molecular structure. tRNAs have two regions of fundamental functional importance: the anti-codon, which is responsible for specific mRNA codon recognition, and the 3' end, to which the tRNAs corresponding amino acid is attached (by aminoacyl-tRNA synthetases). tRNAs cope with the degeneracy of the genetic code in two manners: having more than one tRNA (with a specific anti-codon) for a particular amino acid; and 'wobble' base-pairing, i.e. permitting non-standard base-pairing at the 3rd anti-codon position.
Source: RNAcentral
GCACCCUUAGCUCAGUUGGAUAGAGCAACCGCCUUCUAAGCGGUCGGUCAAAGGUUCGAGUCCUUUAGGGUGCGCCA